This 274-nucleotide unclassified non-coding RNA is filed under the name Hevea brasiliensis (rubber tree). Lineage: Eukaryota; Viridiplantae; Streptophyta; Magnoliopsida; Malpighiales; Euphorbiaceae. The record is from RNAcentral.
UGGAUUGUUUGCUGCAUAGUAGUAGAUAUUGGGGAUGUUGCCAAUGAGACUGUCAGGAUAGCAUGCAUCACUCAUCCCAACCUGCUUCCCUGGCAUGAACUCAAGAGACCCAUGGGUACCAAAGUGAAGAACAGCAUCAGCCUGGAAGAUCUUCUCAACAAAGGUGUAGUAUGCUGCAAAGCCAUGGUGAGGGCUAGCAGAUUUUGAGAACAGAAGCCGCAUCGGAUCUCCUUCAUAGCCAAAAGUGGGCUGAACUCCAAUGAAUACAUUGCCG